Molecule: non-coding RNA, 906 nt
Organism: Ictidomys tridecemlineatus (thirteen-lined ground squirrel)
Lineage: Eukaryota; Metazoa; Chordata; Mammalia; Rodentia; Sciuridae
Source: RefSeq, a predicted model, not a curated record
UUCAAGAGGCAGUCUUAAGUGGAGAGUCUUUAGGUCAUUGGAGUCAUGCCCUUGAAGGAGAUUGUAUUCUCUUCCUCCUCUUUUUUGCUCCUUUGCCAUGAGGUGAGUGGUUUUUGCUCUGCUGUGCACUCUAAUUUUGCUGUGCUGUCCACAAUUUGCUAUCUUGUCACAGGCCCAAAAGAAAAAGGGUCAAUUGAUCAUGGACUUAAACCCCCAAAACCAUGAGCCAAAGCAAACCCUGACUUUCUGUAAGUUUAUUAUCUCAGGUAUUUUGUUACAGUAAUGGAAAACUGACAGACAGUUUCCUUGUCUCUUCCCCAGUGUCCUGUAUCUGUGGCCACUUCACUGAAUGAAUGAGGCUCCUGAGCUGCUGGGAUUACAGAUGUGCUCCACCGCACCUGGCAAGAAAUAUUUUAGAUGAAUUGAUCCUUCUUUGAGGUCUACAUCUUUCCCUUAUACUGCAUGAAUAUUAUGAUGGCUCCAUGCUGUGUGAAGACACAGACCUGCUCUUCAGAAAGGAUCCCAGGGAUCUUCUGUAUUCUGGGAGCUCCCCACGAACUCUUCCAGGUUUGAUGUAAAUGCUAAAGGUCACCAGCGUUUAACACACCAGCCACUACCUCAAUUCCAAGAACCCAAGGUGAUCCUGAGAAAAGUGCUUCCAGAGGCCUCUAGAAAACCAGGUGAGGAGCCCACACCCCACCCCCACCCACCUUCCACCAGCUGCCCAGAGCUUUGGAGUGGCUUCCAGCUCCCCGUGCCUAACGGGGCUGCACUUUGGGGUUUGGAGAGGCCUCUUUUCCCGCUGGUUGCUAAGGCCAGCGCUGUCUCCAGGCCUGUUAUCUGGAGGAGGACAGUUUAAACAGGCCUUAUCGCUGUGUAUUCAAUCAAGGUUUAUGAGGACUGAUA